Molecule: ribosomal RNA, 100 nt
Filed under: Mus pahari (shrew mouse)
Lineage: Eukaryota; Metazoa; Chordata; Mammalia; Rodentia; Muridae
Description: rRNA (MGP_PahariEiJ_G0032624.1)
Source: RNAcentral
UUACGGCCAUAUCACCCUGAACACUCCUCAUCUCAUCGGAUCUCAGAAGCUAAGCAGGUUUACGUAUGGCUUGUGCUUGGAAAGACCAUGACCGGCUAAG